Long non-coding RNA from Drosophila persimilis, 756 nucleotides. RefSeq lists it as uncharacterized. The transcript has 2 exons. The record is from RefSeq and is a predicted model, not a curated record. Lineage: Eukaryota; Metazoa; Arthropoda; Insecta; Diptera; Drosophilidae.
ACUUGCAGUUAUUGCACAACUGAGUGAAUAACAUGAUAGUCUUAUGACAUAGCUAUCGCGAAACACUUAAUAUUUUGCUCAGCAGCGGUAGACUGCCGAUUUUCUAUCGCCCUUGCACCGAAGGCUGAAAUCGUUGGAAAAUAUUGCGAAUCUAUUUUGUGCUCAUCAGGGAGGAUUGAUUUCCUUCAAAUUUCGGAGCUUUUGGUUGAAUCACACAAACCAUAUCGGGCAAAAUGGCCAAGAACCUUGAAAACUUAAAUGGGUAUUAUUAAUGAUCGUAUUUCAUCAGACUUCAAGGUAACGCUGAGUUGACGGCUAUGACACAAAUUAUAAAUUAUUUUAUUUAGUUUUAUUUCUGAAUAUGUUUUCCUUUUGUGUAUGUGAGUUAUUUUCAAAUGAACACGUACCCUUUUUUUAAUUUAAAUGCCAAUUUUUUUUGUCGAAACAUUUUAAUUGGUUUACUUUGUAAUGUAAAUUGCUAAUUACAAAGAUACACUUUUCAUUAAUUUUAUUCGCUUUCGGUAUAUAUAUGUAGAUAUUAGGCAAAAUUAUAAACAUUUAACUAAAAUAUCUAUGUAUUUGUGCAUUUUUGAGAAAUAGUAUCGUAUUUAGAAACAAAUUAAAAAUUGUAUAUAAAUUUUAAUUUUUAUAUUUGCACGGAAAAUAUUCUGAUACUAACAUAUUUAAGAGUCUGCGUAGACUUAUAAUUUCUGGGUUAAAAUUAUAGAAAUAAAAUAAAGCAUUUAACUUAUGGUA